This 497-nucleotide ribosomal RNA is filed under the name uncultured bacterium. RNAcentral's name for it is "partial 16S ribosomal RNA". It matches the Rfam family "Bacterial small subunit ribosomal RNA", at positions 28 to 507 of the family's 1533-position model. The record is from RNAcentral.
GACGAACGCUGGCGGCGUGCCUAAUACAUGCAAGUAGAACGCUGAAGAGAGGAGCUUACUCUUCUUGGAUGAGUUGCGAGCGGGUGAGUAACGCGUAGGUAACCUGCCUUGUAGCGGGGGAUAACUAUUGGAAACGAUAGCUAAUACCGCAUAACAAUGGAUGACACAUGUCAUUUAUUUGAAAGGGGCAAUUGCUCCACUACAAGAUGGACCUGCGUUGUAUUAGCUAGUAGGUGAGGUAAUGGCUCACCUAGGCGACGAUACAUAGCCGACCUGAGAGGGUGAUCGGCCACACUGGGACUGAGACACGGCCCAGACUCCUACGGGAGGCAGCAGUAGGGAAUCUUCGGCAAUGGGGGCAACCCUGACCGAGCAACGCCGCGUGAGUGAAGAAGGGUUUCGGAUCGUAAAGCUCUGUUGUAAGUCAAGAACGGGUGUGAGAGUGGAAAGUUCACACUGUGACGGUAGCUUACCAGAAAGGGACGGCUAACUACGUG